Molecule: unclassified non-coding RNA, 229 nt
Filed under: plant metagenome
Description: partial contains small subunit ribosomal RNA, internal transcribed spacer 1, and 5.8S ribosomal RNA
Source: RNAcentral
UCUCCGUAGGUGAACCUGCGGAGGGAUCAUUACAGAGUUCUCGCCCUCGCGGGUAGAUCUCCCACCCACUGUUAUCGUUACUGUGUUGCUUUGGCGGGCCGCCGAGCCCCGCUCGGCCGCCGGCUCCGGCUGGCGCGCGCCCGCCAGAGGCCCAGCAAACUCUGAAUGUUAGUGUCGUCUGAGUACUAUAUAAUAGUUAAAACUUUCAACAACGGAUCUCUUGGUUCUG